CUUCAUGUACAUACCAGGAUGAAAGCACCUCUCGUCAGAUCACGGAAGUUAAGCAUCGUUGGGCCGGGAUGAUCAGAUAGUACUUGGAUGGGGGACCUCCUGGGAGCUCCCGGUGGCGUGGAGC
This 124-nucleotide ribosomal RNA is filed under the name Clytia hemisphaerica. The record is from RNAcentral. Lineage: Eukaryota; Metazoa; Cnidaria; Hydrozoa; Leptothecata; Clytiidae.